Molecule: small nucleolar RNA, 83 nt
Organism: Pogoniulus pusillus (Red-fronted tinkerbird)
Lineage: Eukaryota; Metazoa; Chordata; Aves; Piciformes; Lybiidae
Product: small nucleolar RNA SNORD24
Exons: 1
Source: RefSeq, a predicted model, not a curated record
UGCCGCAAUGAUGACAGAUAUUUGCUACUCUUGACCCAAGAGAAUGAUGAAUACUUAUACCACCAUAAAUUCCUGCUGAGGCA